AUUGAACGCUAGCGGGAUGCUUUACACAUGCAAGUCGAACGGCAGCGCGGACUUCGGUCUGGCGGCGAGUGGCGAACGGGUGAGUAAUGUAUCGGAACGUGCCCAGUAGCGGGGGAUAACUACGCGAAAGCGUAGCUAAUACCGCAUACGCCCUACGGGGGAAAGCAGGGGAUCGUAAGACCUUGCACUAUUGGAGCGGCCGAUAUCGGAUUAGCUAGUUGGUGAGGUAACAGCUCACCAAGGCGACGAUCCGUAGCUGGUUUGAGAGGACGACCAGCCACACUGGGACUGAGACACGGCCCAGACUCCUACGGGAGGCAGCAGUGGGGAAUUUUGGACAAUGGGGGCAACCCUGAUCCAGCCAUCCCGCGUGUGCGAUGAAGGCCUUCGGGUUGUAAAGCACUUUUGGCAGGAAAGAAACGUCGCGGGCUAAUACCCCGUGGAACUGACGGUACCUGCAGAAUAAGCACCGGCUAACUACGUG
RNAcentral lists this ribosomal RNA (484 nucleotides) under uncultured bacterium. Its description in RNAcentral is "partial 16S ribosomal RNA". It matches the Rfam family "Bacterial small subunit ribosomal RNA", at positions 30 to 507 of the family's 1533-position model. The record is from RNAcentral.